CAGUAGCCGCGGGAAAACGAAGGGUGCAAGCGUUACUCGGAAUUACUGGGCGUAAAGCGUGCGUAGGUGGUGGUUUAAGUCCGUUGUGAAAGCCCUGGGCUCAACCUGGGAAUUGCAGUGGAUACUGGGUCACUAGAGUGUGGUAGAGGAUAGUGGAAUUUCCGGUGUAGCAGUGAAAUGCGUAGAGAUCGGAAGGAACAUCUGUGGCGAAGGCGGCCCCCUGGACAAAGACUGACGCUCAGGUGCGAAAGCGUGGGGAGCAAACAGGAUUAGAUACCCGUGUAGUCCCUGUCUCUUAUAC
RNAcentral lists this ribosomal RNA (301 nucleotides) under uncultured bacterium. RNAcentral's name for it is "partial 16S ribosomal RNA". It matches the Rfam family "Bacterial small subunit ribosomal RNA", at positions 509 to 807 of the family's 1533-position model. The record is from RNAcentral.